UUGUGUAGGAUAGGUGGGAGACUGUGAAGCGGCGACGCCAGUCGUCGUGGAGUCAACGUUGAAAUACCACUCUGGUUGUUCUGGAUAUCUAACCUAGGUCCAUUAUCUGGAUCAGGAACAGUGCCUGAUGGGUAGUUUGACUGGGGCGGUCGCCUCCCAAAAGGUAACGGAGGCGCCCAAAGGUUCCCUCAGCCUGGUUGGCAAUCAGGUUUCGAGUGUAAGUGCACAAGGGAGCUUGACUGUGAGAGGGACACCUCGAGCAGGGACGAAAGUCGGGACUAGUGAUCUGACGGUGGCAUGUGGAAGCGCCGUCACUCAACGGAUAAAAGGUACCCCGGGGAUAACAGGCUGAUCUUGCCCGAGCGUCCAUAGCGACGGCAUGGUUUGGCACCUCGAUGUCGGCUCGUCGCAUCCUGGGGCUGGAGUCGGUCCCAAGGGUUGGGCUGUUCGCCCAUGAAAGCGGUACGCGAGCUGGGUUCAGAACGUCGUGAGACAGUUCGGUCCCUAUCCGCUGCGCGCGGAGGAAUCUUGAGAAGGGCUGUCUUUAGUACGAGAGGACCGAGACGGACUGACCUCUGGUGUGCCAGUUGUU
This 592-nucleotide ribosomal RNA is filed under the name Pavlova sp. CCMP459. RNAcentral's name for it is "partial Bacterial large subunit ribosomal RNA". It matches the Rfam family "Bacterial large subunit ribosomal RNA", at positions 2134 to 2725 of the family's 2925-position model. Lineage: Eukaryota; Haptophyta; Pavlovophyceae; Pavlovales; Pavlovaceae. The record is from RNAcentral.